ACUCCUACGGGAGGCAGCAGUGGGGAAUUUUGGACAAUGGGCGCAAGCCUGAUCCAGCCAUGCCGCGUGCGGGAAGAAGGCCUUCGGGUUGUAAACCGCUUUUGUCAGGGAAGAAAAGGUUCUGGCUAAUACCUGGGACUCAUGACGGUACCUGAAGAAUAAGCACCGGCUAACUACGUGCCAGCAGCCGCGGUAAUACGUAGGGUGCAAGCGUUAAUCGGAAUUACUGGGCGUAAAGCGUGCGCAGGCGGUUAUGCAAGACAGAGGUGAAAUCCCCGGGCUCAACCUGGGAACUGCCUUUGUGACUGCAUGGCUAGAGUACGGUAGAGGGGGAUGGAAUUCCGCGUGUAGCAGUGAAAUGCGUAGAUAUGCGGAGGAACACCGAUGGCGAAGGCAAUCCCCUGGACCUGUACUGACGCUCAUGCACGAAAGCGUGGGGAGCAAACAGGAUUAGAUACCCUUGUAGUCC
This 469-nucleotide ribosomal RNA is filed under the name uncultured organism. RNAcentral's name for it is "partial 16S ribosomal RNA". It matches the Rfam family "Bacterial small subunit ribosomal RNA", at positions 335 to 796 of the family's 1533-position model. The record is from RNAcentral.